Molecule: ribosomal RNA, 447 nt
Filed under: uncultured bacterium
Lineage: Bacteria
Description: bacterial SSU rRNA
Rfam family: Bacterial small subunit ribosomal RNA
Source: RNAcentral
UUCCAGACUCCUACGGGAGGCAGCAGUGGAGAAUAUUGCACAAUGGGGGAAACCCUGAUGCAGCGACGCCGCGUGAGUGAAGAAGUAAUUCGUUAUGUAAAGCUCUAUCAGCAGGGAAGAAAAUGACGGUACCUGAGUAAGAAGCCCCGGCUAACUACGUGCCAGCAGCCGCGGUAAUACGUAGGGGGCAAGCGUUAUCCGGAUUUACUGGGUGUAAAGGGAGCGUAGACGGCAGAGCAAGUCUGAAGUGAAAGCCCGUGGCCCAACUGCGGGACUGCUUUGGAAACUGCCCGGCUAGAGUGCUGGAGAGGUAAGCGGAAUUCCUAGUGUAGCGGUGAAAUGCGUAGAUAUUAGGAGGAACACCAGUGGCGAAGGCGGCUUACUGGACAGUAACUGACGUUGAGGCUCGAAAGCGUGGGGAGCAAACAGGAUUAGAUACCCGCGUAC